UCCUCCGCUUAUUGAUAUGCUUAAGUUCAGCGGGUAUCCCUACCUGAUCCGAGGUCAACCUGAGAAAAAUAAGGUUGGAGACGCCGGCUGGCGCCCGGCCGGCCCUAAUCGAGCGGGUGACAAAGCCCCAUACGCUCGAGGACCGGACACGGUGCCGCCGCUGCCUUUCGGGCCCGUCCCCCGGGGGGGACGACGACCCAACACACAAGCCGGGCUUGAGGGCAGCAAUGACGCUCGGACAGGCAUGCCCCCCGGAAUGCCAGGGGGCGCAAUGUGCGUUCAAAGACUCGAUGAUUCACUGAAUUCUGCAAUUCACAUUACUUAUCGCAGUUCGCUGCGUUCUUCAUCGAUGCCGGAACCAAGAGAUCCAUUGUUGAAAGUUUUGACUGAUUUGUAUUCAGGCUCAGACUGCAUCACUCUCAGGCAUGAAGUUCAGUGGUCCCCGGCGGCUCGCCCCUGGGGGGCUCCCCGCCGAAGCAACAGUGUUAGGUAGUCACGGGUGGGAGGUUGGGCGCCCGGAGGCAGCCCGCACUCGGUAAUGAUCCUUCCGCAAGGUUCACCUACGGA
RNAcentral lists this unclassified non-coding RNA (567 nucleotides) under Aspergillus sp. FLN2c. RNAcentral's name for it is "Emericella sp. FLN2c sequence contains 18S rRNA gene, ITS1, 5.8S rRNA gene, ITS2 and 28S rRNA gene". Lineage: Eukaryota; Fungi; Ascomycota; Eurotiomycetes; Eurotiales; Aspergillaceae. The record is from RNAcentral.